GGUGGCUCAGUGGUAGAGCUCUUGCCUUGCAUGCAUGAGGCCCUGGGUUCGAUUCCCCAGCACCA
Molecule: non-coding RNA, 65 nt
Organism: Dipodomys ordii (Ord's kangaroo rat)
Lineage: Eukaryota; Metazoa; Chordata; Mammalia; Rodentia; Heteromyidae
Source: Rfam